AUGAUGCUCAUUUCAGCAUCAUAUAUACUAUACUUGUAACAAUUCACAGAAGAUUAACAGGGCCUCUGUACAAAGUUAAAACACCAGUUUAUAAAGUAUUUCAUAAUUCU
Mesocricetus auratus (golden hamster) is the source of this 110-nucleotide non-coding RNA. NCBI's taxonomy places the organism in Eukaryota, Metazoa, Chordata, Mammalia, Rodentia, Cricetidae. The record is from Rfam.